GAUGAAGAACGUAGCGAAAUGCGGUAACUAAUGUGAAUUGCAGAAUUCAGUGAAUCAUCGAGUCUUUGAACGCACAUUGCGCCCCCUGGUAUUCCGGGGGGCAUGCCUGUCCGAGCGUCAUUGCUGCCCUCAAGCACGGCUUGUGUGUUGGGCUCCGUCCCCCCGGGGACGGGUCCGAAAGGCAGCGGCGGCACCGAGUCCGGUCCUCGAGCGUAUGGGGCUUUGUCACCCGCUCUGUAGGCCCGGCCGGCGCCAGCCGACAACCAAUCAUCCUUUUUUCAGGUUGACCUCGGAUCAGGUAGGGAUACCCGCUGAACUUAAGCAUAUCAAUAAGCGGAGGA
This 341-nucleotide unclassified non-coding RNA is filed under the name soil metagenome. Its description in RNAcentral is "partial contains 5.8S ribosomal RNA, internal transcribed spacer 2, and large subunit ribosomal RNA". The stretch from base 1 to 120 matches the Rfam family "5.8S ribosomal RNA", at positions 35 to 154 of the family's 154-position model. The record is from RNAcentral.